Molecule: ribosomal RNA, 460 nt
Filed under: uncultured bacterium
Lineage: Bacteria
Description: partial 16S ribosomal RNA
Rfam family: Bacterial small subunit ribosomal RNA
Source: RNAcentral
CCUACGGGUGGCAGCAGUGAGGAAUAUUGGUCAAUGGACGCAAGUCUGAACCAGCCAUGCCGCGUGCAGGAAGACGGCUCUAUGAGUUGUAAACUGCUUUUGUACGAGGGUAAACGCAGAUACGUGUAUCUGUCUGAAAGUAUCGUACGAUUAAGGAUCGGCGAAUUCCGGGCCAGCAGCCGCGGUAAUACGGAGGGUUCAAGCGUUAUCCGGAUUUAUUGGGUUUAAAGGGUGCGUAGGCGGUCUGUUAAGUUAGAUGUGAAAUCCCGAGGCUCAACCUCUGAAUUGCAUCUGAUACUGUUAGGCUAGAGUGUAGUUGAGGUAGGCGGAAUUCAUGGUGUAGCGGUGAAAUGCUUAGAGAUCAUGAAGAACACCGAUUGCGAAGGCAGCUUACCAAGCUACUACUGACGUUGAGGCACGAAAGCGUGGGGAGCAAACAGGAUUAGAUACCCCAGUAGUC